This 1748-nucleotide ribosomal RNA is filed under the name Escherichia coli. RNAcentral describes it as "partial 23S ribosomal RNA". It matches the Rfam family "Bacterial large subunit ribosomal RNA", at positions 482 to 2215 of the family's 2925-position model. Lineage: Bacteria; Pseudomonadati; Pseudomonadota; Gammaproteobacteria; Enterobacterales; Enterobacteriaceae. The record is from RNAcentral.
GACCGAUAGUGAACCAGUACCGUGAGGGAAAGGCGAAAAGAACCCCGGCGAGGGGAGUGAAAAAGAACCUGAAACCGUGUACGUACAAGCAGUGGGAGCCUCUUUUAUGGGGUGACUGCGUACCUUUUGUAUAAUGGGUCAGCGACUUAUAUUCUGUAGCAAGGUUAACCGAAUAGGGGAGCCGAAGGGAAACCGAGUCUUAACUGGGCGUUAAGUUGCAGGGUAUAGACCCGAAACCCGGUGAUCUAGCCAUGGGCAGGUUGAAGGUUGGGUAACACUAACUGGAGGACCGAACCGACUAAUGUUGAAAAAUUAGCGGAUGACUUGUGGCUGGGGGUGAAAGGCCAAUCAAACCGGGAGAUAGCUGGUUCUCCCCGAAAGCUAUUUAGGUAGCGCCUCGUGAAUUCAUCUCCGGGGGUAGAGCACUGUUUCGGCAAGGGGGUCAUCCCGACUUACCAACCCGAUGCAAACUGCGAAUACCGGAGAAUGUUAUCACGGGAGACACACGGCGGGUGCUAACGUCCGUCGUGAAGAGGGAAACAACCCAGACCGCCAGCUAAGGUCCCAAAGUCAUGGUUAAGUGGGAAACGAUGUGGGAAGGCCCAGACAGCCAGGAUGUUGGCUUAGAAGCAGCCAUCAUUUAAAGAAAGCGUAAUAGCUCACUGGUCGAGUCGGCCUGCGCGGAAGAUGUAACGGGGCUAAACCAUGCACCGAAGCUGCGGCAGCGACGCUUAUGCGUUGUUGGGUAGGGGAGCGUUCUGUAAGCCUGUGAAGGUGUGCUGUGAGGCAUGCUGGAGGUAUCAGAAGUGCGAAUGCUGACAUAAGUAACGAUAAAGCGGGUGAAAAGCCCGCUCGCCGGAAGACCAAGGGUUCCUGUCCAACGUUAAUCGGGGCAGGGUGAGUCGACCCCUAAGGCGAGGCCGAAAGGCGUAGUCGAUGGGAAACAGGUUAAUAUUCCUGUACUUGGUGUUACUGCGAAGGGGGGACGGAGAAGGCUAUGUUGGCCGGGCGACGGUUGUCCCGGUUUAAGCGUGUAGGCUGGUUUUCCAGGCAAAUCCGGAAAAUCAAGGCUGAGGCGUGAUGACGAGGCACUACGGUGCUGAAGCAACAAAUGCCCUGCUUCCAGGAAAAGCCUCUAAGCAUCAGGUAACAUCAAAUCGUACCCCAAACCGACACAGGUGGUCAGGUAGAGAAUACCAAGGCGCUUGAGAGAACUCGGGUGAAGGAACUAGGCAAAAUGGUGCCGUAACUUCGGGAGAAGGCACGCUGAUAUGUAGGUGAAGUCCCUUGCGGAUGGAGCUGAAAUCAGUCGAAGAUACCAGCUGGCUGCAACUGUUUAUUAAAAACACAGCACUGUGCAAACACGAAAGUGGACGUAUACGGUGUGACGCCUGCCCGGUGCCGGAAGGUUAAUUGAUGGGGUCAGCGCAAGCGAAGCUCUUGAUCGAAGCCCCGGUAAACGGCGGCCGUAACUAUAACGGUCCUAAGGUAGCGAAAUUCCUUGUCGGGUAAGUUCCGACCUGCACGAAUGGCGUAAUGAUGGCCAGGCUGUCUCCACCCGAGACUCAGUGAAAUUGAACUCGCUGUGAAGAUGCAGUGUACCCGCGGCAAGACGGAAAGACCCCGUGAACCUUUACUAUAGCUUGACACUGAACAUUGAGCCUUGAUGUGUAGGAUAGGUGGGAGGCUUUGAAGUGUGGACGCCAGUCUGCAUGGAGCCGACCUUGAAAUACCACCCUUUAAUGUUU